Gopherus flavomarginatus (Mexican gopher tortoise) is the source of this 3181-nucleotide long non-coding RNA. RefSeq lists it as uncharacterized. Lineage: Eukaryota; Metazoa; Chordata; Testudines; Testudinidae. The transcript has 3 exons. The record is from RefSeq and is a predicted model, not a curated record.
GCGGAAAAAGAGAGCGCGAGCGAGAUUGCCCACGCAUGCGCAAUCUCCCCCGCCCCGGUUGGGGUGCACGACGCUCGGCGGGGAGGUGUCGCGUGAGCUUCCUGCUGUCGUCACUGUGGGCUGUUGCGGUGCGUUACGAAAACGACUCUUGUCCUGUUCAGAGACAGACGCCAACACGUCAUGGGGCGGGGGGCGGACUCAGCUCCCCCAAGCUGCACCUCGGGAUGUCGCCGCUCGCCCCGCUCAGGGCACUCUCGAGCCGUCCCUGGCCACCGGGAGCGGGCACGGAUCAGCUCUGCCUCGCGAACGAGGCCGGGCGGCAGGACGCUAGUUUGGACACCGCAGCGCGGGAGCGCCACAAGCCCAGCCGGGCCCCCAGCGACCUUUGCUGGGCAGUGCCUGGCUCCAGGGGCCUUGCCCCGCCUCUGCUGCGCUAAGGGGCUGAGCCCUGCGUGCACUGGGAGAGCUGCCAACGGUGGGCCCUGCCAACGGCUUUUGUCAAAUGCUUAUUGCGAGGUUCAGCAAUGAAUGAGGAAGUGCUGGGGUCGGCUGUCUACACUGCUGCGCAUCUGGCAUUGGCCACUGUUGGAAGACAGGAUGUUGACCUAGAUGGACCAUUGGUCUGACCCAGUAUAGCUAUUCUUAGAUUCAGCAAGAAUUUAUUCCAUCAGAUUGUGAACUACUUUAUAGUUGCUUGUCCUCUUAAGCGCAGUUCAUGUAAAGACUUACAUGCAAAAUUACUUUACAUAUCUCCAUAGUCCCACUGAAGUCACUGAACUACUCACAUGUUUAAAGACUUGCUUGUAUGCUCAACUUCAAGUAUGUAAGUAGUCUAAAUCACUUAUAUGGGACUAUUCGCAUAGUGAAAUCCUGGCUCUACUGAAGUCAGCAGUACUUUGCCAUUGACUUCAGCAGAGCCAGGAUUUCACACAUAAUAUAUAAAGCUAUGUGUAGUCUUUGCAAGAUCAGAGCUUAAGUUUGUACUGUGCGAACAUAAGAGGUCCGUGAUCCUGAUCAGACUUUUGGUAGUAUCACAACAUAUAUUAAAUAAUUAAUUAACUGUCCUAUGGUCUAAAUGUGUAGUACCACAACAAAUAUUAAAUAAUUAAUUAACUGUCCUAUGGUCUAAAUGUGUUUCCAUUGCACACAAGAUGAUAUUUACUAAAUCGGAGUUUAACCAUAAAUGUAAAUUUCAAUAUGCCGUGCAGCUUUAAAGAAAAAAUAUUUAUGGGUUUUAAAUGAUGAAAUUGCAGUCAGACAUUUAAAAUUUAGUAUAAGGUGCCUUCCAAAAGCAUUUAUUUAUAUAGCUGAAACUUCUUAUAUAAACUACUGUGAUUAUCUUCCCCUCCUUGUUUUCAAAAGCCAUUUGCAAGAUAUGCAAAAUAGAAAUUCAGUGUAUCCUUACCACUUUUAUUAACAUGUGCCUAUGCCUCACCUUUAAAAAAAAUACAUUUGUAGAAUGUUUGUGGGAAUUGUACAAUACUGUAAUUUUAAAACAGAAAAAAAUGUUCAAAUAUUUCAUUUACCCUUUAUGCCAGAACCUUGCCGCUAGAUGGCAUAUAUUCAUUAUUUUACUCAUGGAUAAAACAAGGCUAAAACAACAAUUAGGAGAAUGUGGGAACACAAGUGAACGAUGGGAUUUCCCAAUAAAGUGAAUUCUACAUUUAAUUUACCCUUUACAUAAGGUUUUUCCAUUCAUAUAUGUCCAUAUUUCCUCCCAGAUUUGAAUAAUGAACAUACAGGAAUCAUAAACUGUAGUAAAAGUUAACCUUCACCACCAAUGCAGUUUUAUAACUUCAGGUCUUGGAGAAUAUGAAGCAAGGUAAAAGCUCUAUUUGCUUAACAUCAAAUUUUAUUCAUAUAUGAACACAUCUAUUAAUUUCAGUGGGAGUCACAUGAGCUCAUUUUAAGAACACGGUUCUUAAUAUCCAGUAUAUAUAUUAGAUAUCUAUACACAGAGUUUGAAGACAAAAUUUACAAUUUAAAAACAAAAAUUUAGUAGGCAAAAAAUGCCUUCUUCCUUGUAUAGGUCCAAUUAAUAAUUGAACAGGGUAACUAUAGUAAGGUUUCAAAAUCAAAGUCUUCCUUUUAUAGACCAAACAUAGCAAGUAUGCAGGGGGAUGUCACAGACUUGAGAGGAUUAAGAAGUCAUACAUUGUGAAUACUUCCAUUAUUCAUGUCUUCAUUAAUUUCUCUUACACCUCACCCCUUCCAACAUUUGACUUUGUAUUCUUGCUAUUAAAAUAGAUGUCCAAAGAGGUGUAAAAUUUUCAUAGGAUAUAUUCCAGGGAUGGCCAAACUUACUGACACUCUGAGCCGCAUACAACAAUCUUCAGAAAGUGGAGAGCCAGGGCGCACCUGCUGGGGCUCGGGGCUUUUGCUCUAUGGGAGGCAUCUGCCAGGCCUUGGGGCUUCAGCCCCGCUCCUGCUAAGCCCUGAGCCCCAGUAGGUGCACCCCAUGGGGCUGAAGCCCUAAGACCCCCCUUCCCCACUAGACAGAAGCCCCUACCCCAUCACCCUGCUGAAAAGCAGAGGUCCCGAGCCCCCCCCCCCCCCCAGCCCCAUCUGGUAGGUGGAGAAGGGAGGGCCCGGAGGGGCUCCAUGAGCCACACUUUAAUUGUAAAAGAGCCGCAUGCAGCUCGUAAACCAUGGUUUGGCCAUCCCAGAUAUAUUCUGGCAUAGUGAUGUAGGAAUAAUCUGGCAAUGGCUAGAGAGAGUGCUUCUGGGACUAUAAAUCUUACAGCUUCCAUGAGCUAUAAGUUUACUUAAAGAAACAAAAACUUAAUUAAUUUGUUCUAAAGAUAAAAUUAAAUGAAGACAUCUGUAUGGAUAGGACCAAAUUUAGAUUUAAAUUAUAUUGCUAUAAAUCAGAGGUUAUUGUAGUUAUUUGCAUGUACACUGUUGUAAAUGAGUUUAGAAUCUGGCCCAUAGUGAACAAUUUGCAUAAAGUCUGACCAAUUCAGAUAAUAAAAGCAAAUCAACUGCCAUUUUAAUAUUUGAAAUUUAAAUUACAUUUCCUUUUUACAAUUUUUACAUGAAUGGAUAGUACCAAAUUAUAUUAUAUUGUCUCCAGUACAUCUUUUUGUAUAAGACCCAGUGACAAAAGUGGAUCAUGUACCAGUAUAACUAUUUCUGAACUUUUAAAAUCAUCUUUAGAAGAGUUUUUAAUAUAAGGAGUUGC